AAAAAUUCUUUUAAAAAAUGAAAAACCCACUCUAAUAUUUUCACUUAUAGGUACGAAGUAACUCGAAUUUUUCUGUCCUCCCGUUCUGGACACCCAGUUUUUGAGCGGGAAGUAUUCUUCCUCCCGAAUCAAAUAGGGUUGCCUGUAAACCUGCAGAUUCUUUUAUGUUCUAUAGAUCAUGCAAUCGAAUAUAUUUGAUUGACUGAACUUCAUUUCAGCUUGAUGGGUAUGAAAUUUAAUUUCUAUGCGAUGAUGUGUUUUCUGAUUAUUAUUUUCUCAUUAGGAUAACUAUAGUUUGUAGAACAUAAGGGCAUAUUGAAUUCCUUAGGUAAAAUUAUGCCAUUUAUAUAUUGGGAUCUUGAUGUUCUGUUCUAUUAAGACAUUUCCUCUGAUGUUUGGGUUAUACAUCUUCCGUUCUGUAAUUUACCCCAAUCUAUGAAUUAUUCAAAGGUUACUGUUUUAACGUUUCUGUUAUUUACUUGUAAUGUGUGGUAAAAUUUGAUGCUACAACAAAUCUUCCAUUUUCGUAAAAUUGCAUCAAUUUCUAGGACUGGACACUGAACCCGAAUUUUCGGGCAUAUAGCAAGUGGAACCUCUGGGUCCAAAUUUAAUUAUGGAAUUAUUCAGGUUCAGUUCGAUUCAAUUCAAUUUUCGGGUUUCGUACAAUAAUUAGUUUUUUUAUAUUUACAACAACACUAGAUUAAUUCAACUAUGACAUGUUUAAUCUUAGCUCUUACAAAAAUGUAAUCCAAUUUCGUGAUAUCUUUUGCUCAUAUCUUUGUUGAAUUCUUCAUAUAUUUAACUGUUAAAAUCACAAGAAUAAGAAGAUAGCGAGCCCAAAAUAUUAAAGAGAUGCGUAGCUGAGUUUCCAAUUUGAUUUAUCUCGAACUAGAAACAGUGGAAUAAGAAAUUUGGGUAAAAUUUAGGUCAAUUUAAUUAAGUUGUCUUGGUUGGAAAUUAGAAAUAAGAAAAUCGUAUUUUAGGUUUGGGCUAAUUAAUUGGAAAAUUUAUUUAAUAAGAAUAAAAUAAUUUAGCUUAUUUAAGAUUAAAAAAUUAUGAAGAGCCGGUUCUUGGUCUAGAAUCAAGAGUCAAAGAUUUUCGAUUCAAAUACUUGUUCGGAUAUUUAAUUUAAGAAGAAUCGCUCGAUUCAGUUCAAUUCGAUUUGGAAAUUUUGUCCAGCCCUAUCAAUUUCCAUAUAUUAUAUAAGUAGUCCUGAUCUUGUUGUUGAUAUACCCCUCCCCGCUUUCUUAUCUCUGGUUUUUUUAUUGCUUACUGUUCCCCUAGUUAUUACAUGUUCUUGAUUCAUCUUAUGGUGUCUUAGCAUGCAAUAUUCCUCUGGGUCGAUCUUAGACUCUGAAUAAUGAUGUCAAGAAACUCAUUUUCUUAGACUCUUUGUUUAUGAACUGUUUCGAUAAACUUAUUUUCUUCCAAGAUUCUUAUUUGGGCAUUAGUUUACAUUGACCACCGGUUUCAGGUUUGAUUAUGUGAAGCAUAUAAUGCAGCGAAGGGUAACAAAAUCUUGUGAUUUGAAGUUUCUGAGUAAAGCUUUGACUACCUGUUUCAAGGAGAUGGCGUUGAUAUGAAUUUUGAGCAACAGUUGUGGAAGAGUGAGAAUCCAGUUUUGAAUACUGUUGACCUAACAUAUUGAUGAACGUCAGUUGUGUAUGUUUGUCAAAAAUUCGAUAUAUAAUGAGAAGAGGCUUGAUAAUAUAUUUUUUGGCCUUCCAUGAAAAUAUUAAUGAACCAUGUUUUCCUUUUAUGUCUGUUGAUUGUUACCAACAUAGGACUGGGCAUUUGAUAACUAAAGCGUGUCUAGUUCUCAUUGGAAUAAAAUCCAC
Molecule: long non-coding RNA, 1838 nt
Filed under: Olea europaea subsp. europaea
Lineage: Eukaryota; Viridiplantae; Streptophyta; Magnoliopsida; Lamiales; Oleaceae
Source: RNAcentral